Non-coding RNA from Achromobacter piechaudii HLE, 92 nucleotides. The record is from Rfam. NCBI's taxonomy places the organism in Bacteria, Pseudomonadati, Pseudomonadota, Betaproteobacteria, Burkholderiales, Alcaligenaceae.
GAUCCUGCUCCGGGGUGCACGCCAGUGCUGAGAUUCAGACCCGCGAACUUGACCCGGUUCAUGCCGGCGUAAGAAGAGCAUUCGCCUUGUCC